This 325-nucleotide ribosomal RNA is filed under the name uncultured eukaryote. RNAcentral's name for it is "partial 18S ribosomal RNA". It matches the Rfam family "Eukaryotic small subunit ribosomal RNA", at positions 1470 to 1796 of the family's 1831-position model. The record is from RNAcentral.
CCCUUAGAUGUUCUGGGCCGCACGCGCGCUACACUGAUGCAUUCAACGAGCCUCUCCUUGACCGACAGGUCCGGGUAAUCUUUGAAUCUGCAUCGUGACGGGGAUAGAUUAUUGCAAUUAUUAAUCUUCAACGAGGAAUGCCUAGUAGGCGCAAGUCAUCAGCUUGCGUCGAUUACGUCCCUGCCCUUUGUACACACCGCCCGUCGCUCCUACCGAUUGGGUGUGCUGGUGAAAUGUUCGGAUCGGCCGUUUGUCGCGGUUUCCGCGUCAUGUGGCUGAGAAGUUCAUUAAACCCUCCCACCUAGAGGAAGGAGAAGUCGUAACA